RNAcentral lists this ribosomal RNA (1313 nucleotides) under Pomatogebia operculata. RNAcentral's name for it is "SSU rRNA". It matches the Rfam family "Eukaryotic small subunit ribosomal RNA", at positions 21 to 1311 of the family's 1831-position model. Lineage: Eukaryota; Metazoa; Arthropoda; Malacostraca; Decapoda; Upogebiidae. The record is from RNAcentral.
AGUCAUAUGCUUGUCUCAAAGAUUAAGCCAUGCAUGUGUCAGUACAGGCCGCUUUAAGGCGAAACCGCGAAUGGCUCAUUAAAUCAGCUAUGAUUUAUUGGAUCUGUAAACCCACUUACUUGGAUAACUGUGGUAAUUCUAGAGCUAAUACAUGCUACAAGUCUCUGACCGAGAGGGAAGAGCGCUUUUAUUAGUUCAAAACCGAUCGGGCUUCGGUCCGUCCCACUUUGUGUUGAAUCUGAAUAACUUUGAGCUGAGCGCACGGUCCUCGCACUGGCGCCGCAUCUUUCAAGUGUCUGCCUUAUCAGCUUUCGAUUGUAGGUUAUACGCCUACAAUGGCUAUAACGGGUAACGGGGAAUCGGGUUCGAUUCCGGAGAGGGAGCCUGAGAAACGGCUACCACAUCUAAGGAAGGCAGCAGGCGCGCAAAUUACCCACUCCCGGCACGGGGAGGUAGUGACGAAAAAUAACGAUGCGAGACUCAUCCGAGGCCUCGCAAUCGGAAUGAGUACACUUUAAAUCCUUUAACGAGGACCUAUUGGAGGGCAAGUCUGGUGCCAGCAGCCGCGGUAAUUCCAGCUCCAAUAGCGUAUAUUAAAGUUGUUGCRGUUAAAAAGCUCGUAGUUGGAAUUCAGUUCUGGACUGACGGAUGCACCGCCCGGUGCUUACUGUCACGCUCCGAACAGCCGCUGCCCUCACGGGUGGCCCCGCCGGCUCGCACGGGGUGCUCUUGAUCGAGUGUCUCGGGUGGCCGGCAAGUUUACUUUGAAAAAAUUAGAGUGCUCAGAGCAGGCUAGCCUAACGGCCUGAAUGGUGGUGCAUGGAAUAAUGGAAGAGGACCUCGGUUCUAUUUUGUCGGUUCUUAGGAACCCGAGGUAAUGACUAAUAGAAACAGGCGGGGGCAUUCGUACUGCGACGCUAGAGGUGAAAUUCUUGGACCGUCGCAAGACGAACUAUUGCGAAAGCAUUUGCCAAGGAUGUUUUCAUUAAUCAAGAACGAAAGUUAGAGGUUCGAAGGCGAUCAGAUACCGCCCUAGUUCUAACCCUAAACGAUGCUGACUAGCGAUCCGCCGGCGUUAUUCCCAUGACCCGGCGGGCAGCUUCCGGGAAACCAAAGUCUUUGAGUUCCGGGGGAAGUAUGGUUGCAAAGCUGAAACUUAAAGGAAUUGACGGAAGGGCACCACCAGGAGUGGAGCCUGCGGCUUAAUUUGACUCAACACGGGGAACCUCACCAGGCCCGGACACCGGAAGGAUUGACAGAUUGAGAGCUCUUUCUCGAUUCGGUGGGUGGUGGUGCAUGGCCGUUCUUAGUUG